This is a long non-coding RNA of Urocitellus parryii (Arctic ground squirrel), 609 nucleotides long. RefSeq lists it as uncharacterized. The record is from RefSeq and is a predicted model, not a curated record. NCBI's taxonomy places the organism in Eukaryota, Metazoa, Chordata, Mammalia, Rodentia, Sciuridae.
GGCUUCCGAGGGCAAUGUGAAGCAGCUGCCUUCUGACACCUCCUCAGGGUCUGCAGUCUCUUGGCAGGUCCUCCCAGGAUGAGGGCUGUUGUUCUCAUAUACUACAUUUUGAGAUUAAAAAUAACCCUCGGCCCAGCUUGGCUGCUCUCUCUUGCCUGGGUGACAGASAUGGGGAGGAUGGAGGCUUCCAGGCUUCAGGAGUUUUCAACUGGACUGCCCCUCUGACCCACCACAUUCCACUUACUGCCCAGCUAGCCACCCUCCAAUAGGAGCCCUUGACUUAAAAAGGAGAGGAAAAUGAAAGAAAAGGAUUUGCAGUUUCUACCAGAAAGGUGAAGACGCAUGAUGAAUGAUCAUUCAGCAAGAUUCAGAGCAGAUGAAAGAGGCCCAGAGCAGAAGCCAGAGACGCAGAAGAUGCACCAUGAAAUUGUGAAGUGUGAAGUGGUUGGAGCUCAUAAGCACACUGUGGACACAAGGGUCUUAGUGGUCUUUCAUUGAUCCAGAAUAUAUUUGUACAUGCAGUAUGAGAUAGGAAUUCAACUUCAUUUGCCUUCAGAUGGAUAACCAGUGGGCAUGUUUACAAAUGAAAUAAAAUACCCGCCUUGUCAU